AGCUACGAUGAUCUUUUAUGCUUUGAAAUGGAACUAAAGACAGCUCGUCCUGGUUGCUGGACUGAGAAGCGUAAAACAGAAUCUGAAGAAUGGCGUCUGAGUUGCUCACUGAGACCAAUCCUGUCCCUGUAGAGAAUACAAAAAUGCCUGCUGGUCUGUAAGGACUCAGGUCAAGGAAGCUGGAAAAAGUUUCCAGAAACGCAUCUCCAUAUCCAAUCAGUUCACAGACAGCUUGGUGAGCAACAGUUGCUGUCUCUUUCAUCACCGUUGUGUAGAACCCUGGAAUGCUCUGGUCGUUUUCUUGGAUAGCAACUCUAGGAUCCAACUGGGAAAGAACGUGAGGCAGAACUUGCUUUGUUGAUGCUUUUCUAGCAAGCAUUAUCCGAAGGACAAUAUCAAAUCUUGUGACGAAGUUGACGAAGAACCGGCUCCAGUUCUCUCUCCCAAGGGCGUGCUUGAAGACGUAGUCACCGACCAAAGGAGCUCCAAAUGUCAUACAAAGAGGCUCGGGGAGAGGGAAAUGCAAAACAUAAAUAAAACAUCUUAGUAAUAUUAGCUCUAACAUAUAUUUAGUUCAUUAAAGAUAUUUUGGUUUAUGUUAUUUAAAUUAUUUUAAAUUAUUUAGAUUGAUAUAAAUAUAUAUUAUGGUAUUUAAGAUUAUAUUUAAAAUUAAAAUUAUUGUAAUAUCAAAAUAACCUUUUUGUGAACUUUCCUUGUGAAUCACAAUAUGUGUAAUAUAUAUUUUCGUUUUAAAAAUUUAUAAGUGUUUCCUUUACUAAUAUUUUUUAUUUUUAUCAUAGAUUUUAUCUAGAAAUAAUAUAAAUAAAAUUAAAAUUAAAAAAAAAAAUCAUUACAAUUUUUGAGAAAAAUAUAUGUAAUUAUAUUUAUGCAAUUUUUUUUAUAAUAUUAUAGAUAUUUUCUUCAGUCAAAGUUAAGGAAGGUUAUGUGCUGCUGUGUUCAUGCUAUGUGAUAAGGCUUUAGGCUUAAGAGUCAUGUUUAUAUAUUCUAAGAUCAUUGUAAAGUAGAAAUCAAAUUUGACAUUAGAACAGAGAGCUAUUACAUUAUUUCACGAUGAUCUUAGGACAUGUUUCUUAUUUCCAAGAUCAUCCUGAUGUGGAAAUCAAACUCUAAAACAUUAGAACAAAGAGCUAUUACAUCACUUUAUUGCACAAAUGUAAACAAGGAAGUUACAAUAGUUGAACAAUCUGACAACUUUCAGGUUCAAGUGGAUCUUGUUUCACCCAUACGUCCUUGCAGCAGAGAAGAGCUUUUGUGUUCCUCAGGAAGUGAAUGCCACCACUUUCUAAAUGUUCAACCCUCCAGAAAUAUUUGCUCAUCAUCUAUCUCCUGUCCGUGAUCCACCUUUCAACUAACUUUUCAAAUGUUGUCUCAUUUCGGUUUAUGUUAUUUAAAUUAUUUUAAAUUAUUUAGAUUGGUAUAAAUAUAUAUUAUUUUAUUAUUUAUGAUAAUAUUCAAAAGUAAAAUUAUUUUUGAUAUCAAAAUUACUUUUUUGUGAACUUUCCUUGCAAUGAAAUCCCAUUAUGUGUAAUAUAUAUUUUCGUUUUUAAAACUUAUAAGUGUUUCCUUUGCUAGUUUUUUUUUUAUUUUUAUUAUAGAUUUUUUCUAGAAAUAAUAUAAAGAAAAAUAAAAGCAAAAUUAAAAAAAAAAAUCAUGGAAAUUUUUGAGAAAAAUAUAUGUAAUUAUAUUUAGGUAAUUUUCUUAAUAUUAUAGAUAUUUUCCUCUUCAUGCUAUGUGAUAUGCUUUAGUCUUAAGAGUCAUGUUUAUAUAUUCUAAGAUCACUGUAAAGUAGAAAUCAAAUUUGACAUUAGAACAGAGGGCUAUUACAUUAUUUCACGAUGAUCUUAGGACAUGUUUCUUAUCUCUAAGAUCAUCCUGAUGUGGAAAUCGAACUCUAAAACAUAAGAACAGAGAGCUAUUACAUCACUUUAUUGCACAAAUGUAAACAAGGAAGUUACAAUGGUUGAACAAUCUGACAACUUUCGGGUUCAAGUGGAUCUUGUUUCACCCAUACGUUGUCGCAGCAGAGAAGAGCGUUUGUGUUCCUCGGGAAGUGAACGCCACCACUUUGUAAAUGUUGAACCGUCCAGAAAUAUUUGCUCAUCAUCUAUCUCCCUGUUUGUGAUCCACCCUUCAACUAACUUUUCAAACCGUUUAACCUCAACACUUUCAUAUGGUUUUCCCUUGAGUUCUUCAACGUCAGCCCAAAAGCAAGAUCCGCAACCAGAUUCCUCUAUCUCCUCUGAACUCUUUCCUGCCUUCAAUAGUUCAUGCUCGUACCCUCUCUGAGCGUGUUUGUAUCGGUUUGGUCUUCCUUUACGCAUAUAAGGCCCAGUGUCUUCAUUCUUUAAGUGUCUGUGGUAGUUUGAAAUAUCAAGUGGUUCGAUUAAUAUGCGGUAGCGAGUUGAUAACUCGAUCCACUCUCUGUGACCUUCAAAUCCAUCUGGAAGUAGACCUUUCUUCACUAAACCGAGCACCUCGUCAAAAAGACCAGCUAACUCAGCUCUACUGACGUUGGCUUUGAAGUCUUUCUCCUCAUUAGAAUACUUGAAGGAAUCAUAGUACCCGUUUUUAUGAGUUUUACACCUCGGCUUGUAUUCAUCCUCUAUCCACGUCAGCUUCUCUACUAUUUUUGGCAGUUUGUUGUAGAUCUUGGUCUGGUUAUCAACUCGUUGCUUCUCUGCCUCAAAUGCAGCACAGACGCAUUGUCUCGCUCUUGUGCUCUGCAAAAGAAGAAAGAAACAUCAAUGUUAGCGAAAUAUUCCGGGCCGGGUUCGGUUUCACUUCUUUACAUACCAAAAUUUUGGAUCCAUUCGGAUAUUUUACCAGCUUCAGAUACGAAUCGGGUGUGGUACAACUUUUUAGAUCGGGAUAACUUUUUGGGUCGGAUUCGGUUCGGGUAUUUCACCCGGCCCUAAAUGUUGCUACUACAAAUGACAAGCUAUGGAGAGAAAAGAGAGAGAGAUUUUACCAGUCCGAGGUCACGGAGGAUAGGAUCUCCAUCUAAAGGCAAGUGAUGCAAAUCCAGAUGGUUCAACGGUUUCAUGGCCAUUGAGUGUACCAUUUCUUCAUAGCUACGAUGAUCUUUUAUGCUUUGAAAUGGAACUAAAGACAGCUCGUCCUGGUUGCUGGACUGAGAAGCGUAAAACAGAAUCUGAAGAAUGGCGUCUGAGUUGCUCACUGAGACCAAUCCUGUCCCUGUAGAGAAUACAAAAAUGCCUGCUGGUCUGUAAGGACUCAGGUCAAGGAAGCUGGAAAAAGUUUCCAGAAACGCAUCUCCAUAUCCAAUCAGUUCACAGACAGCUUGGUGAGCAACAGUUGCUGUCUCUUUCAUCACCGUUGUGUAGAACCCUGGAAUGCUCUGGUCGUUUUCUUGGAUAGCAACUCUAGG
RNAcentral lists this long non-coding RNA (3409 nucleotides) under Brassica napus (rape). RNAcentral describes it as "long non-coding RNA (BNAP_LNC025548)". Lineage: Eukaryota; Viridiplantae; Streptophyta; Magnoliopsida; Brassicales; Brassicaceae. The record is from RNAcentral.